RNAcentral lists this ribosomal RNA (257 nucleotides) under uncultured bacterium. RNAcentral describes it as "partial 16S ribosomal RNA". It matches the Rfam family "Bacterial small subunit ribosomal RNA", at positions 96 to 354 of the family's 1533-position model. The record is from RNAcentral.
CGGCGGACGGGUGAGUAACGCGUGGACAACCUGCCCUAUGCAGGGGGAUAACAUCCGGAAACGGGUGCUAAUACCGCAUAAGCGCACAGUACCGCAUGGUACGGUGUGAAAAGCUGAGGCGGCAUAGGAUGGGUCCGCGUUGGAUUAGGCAGUUGGCGGGGUAACGCCCACCAAACCGACGAUCCAUAGCCGGCCUGAGAGGGUGGACGGCCANAUUGGGACUGAGACACGGCCCAGACUCCUACGGGAGGCAGCAG